Molecule: ribosomal RNA, 467 nt
Filed under: uncultured bacterium
Lineage: Bacteria
Description: partial 16S ribosomal RNA
Rfam family: Bacterial small subunit ribosomal RNA
Source: RNAcentral
GACGAACGCUGGCGGCGUGCUUAACACAUGCAAGUCGAACGGAAAGGCCCUGCUUUUGUGGGGUGCUCGAGUGGCGAACGGGUGAGUAACACGUGAGUAACCUGCCCUUGACUUUGGGAUAACUUCAGGAAACUGGGCUAAUACCGGAUAGGAGCUCCUGCUGCAUGGUGGGGGUUGGAAAGUUUCGGCGGUUGGGGAUGGACUCGCGGCUUAUCAGCUUGUUGGUGGGGUAGUGGCUUACCAAGGCUUUGACGGGUAGCCGGCCUGAGAGGGUGACCGGCCACAUUGGGACUGAGGUACGGCCCAGACUCCUACGGGAGGCAGCAGUGGGGAAUAUUGCACAAUGGGCGGAAGCCUGAUGCAGCAACGCCGCGUGCGGGAUGACGGCCUUCGGGUUGUAAACCGCUUUCGCCUGUGACGAAGCGUGAGUGACGGUAAUGGGUAAAGAAGCACCGGCUAACUACGUG